UAGAUAGUUUGCAUAUAAACAAAAAUAAACUAACGGUAGAUUAUGAUGUGAACUCACCGAUGAUUGUGGAGAUCGAGUGAACCACCAUCAAAACAAAUAAAAUAAACAAUUUAUUGUCCUUCAUCUACUCCAUUGGAGGAUGAAAAAUAAACUAACGGUAGAUUAUGAUGUGAACUCACCGAUGAUUGUGGAGAUCGAGUGAACCACCAUCAAAACAAAUAAAAUAAACAAUUUAUUGUCCUUCAUCUACUCCAUUGGAGGAUGAGGAAGAGUUUCAUGCACUUCAGUAUCAAAAGCAUUGAUUCCGAUCAUUUGAGAAUUCAAAAGAAUACUAUAAACACAAAUCGUCGGUAUUAUCGUUUGUCAAAUCGAUUGUAUCUGCCCUUCUUCGGGUUGAACUAUGGAAUUUUUAUUUAUUUUUCUUUAAAUGUUAUUUAUGUUUAAAAAUCCUAUUAAUUAGAAUUCAAUGAUGUUUGUUAUCUGUAAGCACAGACAUUUCUCUUAUGUUUAUCUUAUAUUUUAUACACAAACAAAUAUGGUAACUUUGUCGAAUUUAUAAAUAAACUUCAAAUGACUACAUUAUAUUUAUUUUCU
Molecule: long non-coding RNA, 594 nt
Filed under: Lathyrus oleraceus (garden pea)
Lineage: Eukaryota; Viridiplantae; Streptophyta; Magnoliopsida; Fabales; Fabaceae
Description: Pisum sativum (pea) long non-coding RNA (PSAT_LNC040661)
Source: RNAcentral